Molecule: non-coding RNA, 269 nt
Organism: Pelobates cultripes (western spadefoot toad)
Lineage: Eukaryota; Metazoa; Chordata; Amphibia; Anura; Pelobatidae
Source: the annotation of a GenBank genome assembly
ACACACAGAGACACAUACACUGAUCAACAUACUGACACACAUACACUGACAGAAAUACUGACACCCACACACUGACAGAUAUACUGACACCCACAUACACUGAGAAAUACUGACACACACACACAGGCACAUACACUGACACACACACACACAGACAUACUGGCACACAGACAGAUAUACUGACACAUGCAUACACAUGCACUAACAGACAUACUGACGCACUGACAGACAUACUGACACACACAUACUGACACACACAGAUAUACACA